AGUGUACUGCUUCCUCAUUAAAUGUCUCACGUGACAGAAAAAAACGGAGAGUUGGGAAAAUCAAAGAAAAGAAACAACGAAGCUGAAAGGAGAAAGAGCCGUUGGGUUGUGGGAGUCUCUGUCGUCCUGAGAGAGAUGAAGGAAAGAAAUGGAGAGUUGGGAAAAGAAACAGAGAAGCUGAAAGGAGAAAGAGCCGUUGGAGUGAUUUGGAACGGUAUCUUCUAGCGUUGAGCUUGUUGGGCUCAUAAUUUGCCUUCAUUCAGCUGCAAAGAUUUCAUAUAGAUCUCUAAGUCUUGCAGCAAUUUCAAGCAGAUGUCAUGCUUUAGUUACGUGCAACCCCAAUGAUGUUUCUCAAAGGGGAAUUUCAAGUAAUGGUGGGAACUUGGAGGCUGCUAUUCCAGCAGGUUCAUUGCCCAUCAACUACUCAGAAAGUGAUCUGGAGUCGAUCGAUUAUUUCCCAGUACCUACAAAUACUCAAAUGGCCUAUUACAUAUCCAUGAAUCAUAAGAGACAAGCUUUUGCUUCUUCAAUAGCAGCUUUAGGUGCCAUCUUUAAUUGAUAGGCUCUCUUGCUGCGAGUCUUUCAGGAGACUUAGGAUUACUCUCUCUUCCUCACAAAUAGACACAGAUUAGACUUCAGAGAUGUAUGUUACAACUCAACCUGAUAACUAAUUCAUUUCAGCUGCAGAUUUCCCUUUUUGCCAUUCUACUAUAUUUAAGGUCAAUAAGUCUUCACCUUCAAUUUUGUCCAAGUCAUGCACUUGCAACAUACUGCUUUACACUAAACUGAUCAUCUCACACAUAUCAUCUUUAUUAUUCACACACAAUGGAUACACUUAUUGCUCUGAAUUUAUGUACAUUCUCAUGAAGUUUUAAUCAA
This is a long non-coding RNA of Quercus robur (English oak), 879 nucleotides long. RefSeq lists it as uncharacterized. The record is from RefSeq and is a predicted model, not a curated record. Lineage: Eukaryota; Viridiplantae; Streptophyta; Magnoliopsida; Fagales; Fagaceae. The transcript is spliced from 3 exons.